This 30-nucleotide non-coding RNA is filed under the name Prorocentrum micans. Lineage: Eukaryota; Dinophyceae; Prorocentrales; Prorocentraceae. RNAcentral also lists the same sequence under 2 other names. The record is from RNAcentral.
AUAAAAAAAAAAAAAAAAAAAAAAAAAAAA